GACGACCGGUCGGAUGCGUCCGCCGCACCUCAUGCGAAGGAAGGCAUGAGCGUGCGACACGAGUCCGGCCCACAAGUGGAGGCUUCGAACUCCCACCUGACCGCCUUCCGGGGCGGCGGGUCACCGGUCAGGCGGUCCCGCACUCAACAGUGGCAAACCGCCCGAAAGCGCGCCCCGCGGUCCUCGCGGCGGUUGCUCCGGUAGUUCGAGGAGCUCCGCCUGUGAUCGUCCGGGGCAUUUUUU
This 243-nucleotide non-coding RNA is filed under the name Streptomyces sp. F-3. RNAcentral describes it as "Streptomyces RNA 1601". It matches the Rfam family "Streptomyces RNA 1601". Rfam says of the family: Identified by deep sequencing of transcriptome at the end of exponential growth phase. Lineage: Bacteria; Bacillati; Actinomycetota; Actinomycetes; Kitasatosporales; Streptomycetaceae. The record is from Rfam by way of RNAcentral.